RNAcentral lists this ribosomal RNA (104 nucleotides) under Caerostris darwini. The record is from RNAcentral. Lineage: Eukaryota; Metazoa; Arthropoda; Arachnida; Araneae; Araneidae.
UACCAUGCUGAACAUACCGGUUCUCGUUAGAUCACCGAAGUCAAGCAUCAUUGGGCGCGGUCAGUACUUGGGUGGGUGACUACCUGGGAACACCGCGUGCCGUU